RNAcentral lists this ribosomal RNA (481 nucleotides) under uncultured bacterium. RNAcentral's name for it is "partial 16S ribosomal RNA". It matches the Rfam family "Bacterial small subunit ribosomal RNA", at positions 28 to 507 of the family's 1533-position model. The record is from RNAcentral.
GAUGAACGCUGGCGGCGUGCUUAACACAUGCAAGUCGAACGAAGCAUUUGCGACAGAUUUUUUCGGAAUGAAGUUGCUUAUGACUGAGUGGCGGACGGGUGAGCAACGCGUGGGUAACCUGCCUUGUACUGGGGGAUAGCAGCUGGAAACGGCUGGUAAUACCGCAUAAGCGCACAAUGUUGCAUGACAUGGUGUGAAAAACUCCGGUGGUAUAAGAUGGACCCGCGUCUGAUUAGCUAGUUGGUGAGAUAACAGCCCACCAAGGCGACGAUCAGUAGCCGACCUGAGAGGGUGACCGGCCACAUUGGGACUGAGACACGGCCCAGACUCCUACGGGAGGCAGCAGUGGGGAAUAUUGCACAAUGGAGGAAACUCUGAUGCAGCGACGCCGCGUGAGUGAAGAAGUAAUUCGUUAUGUAAAGCUCUAUCAGCAGGGAAGAUAGUGACGGUACCUGACUAAGAAGCUCCGGCUAAAUACGUG